This 253-nucleotide ribosomal RNA is filed under the name uncultured bacterium. RNAcentral describes it as "partial 16S ribosomal RNA". It matches the Rfam family "Bacterial small subunit ribosomal RNA", at positions 524 to 776 of the family's 1533-position model. The record is from RNAcentral.
UACAGAGGGUGCGAGCGUUAAUCGGAAUUACUGGGCGUAAAGCGUGCGUAGACGGCUAUCUAAGUCGGGUGUGAAAGCCCCGGGCUCAACCUGGGAAUUGCAUUCGAGACUGAAUAGCUAGGGUACGGUAGAGGGAAGCGGAAUUUCCGGUGUAGCGGUGAAAUGCGCAGAUAUCAGGAGGAACACCGGUGGCGAAGGCGGGACUCUGGGCCGAUACUGACGCUGAGGAGCGAAAGCGUGGGGAGCAAACAGG